GACGAACGCUGGCGGUGUGCUUAACACAUGCAAGUCGAACGGAAAGGCCCUGCUUUUGUGGGGUGCUCGAGUGGCGAACGGGUGAGUAACACGUGAGUAACCUGCCCUUGACUUUGGGAUAACUUCAGGAAACUGGGGCUAAUACCGGAUAGGAGCUCCUGCUGCAUGGUGGGGGUUGGAAAGUUUCGGCGGUUGGGGAUGGACUCGCGGCUUAUCAGCUUGUUGGUGGGGUAGUGGCUUACCAAGGCUUUGACGGGUAGCCGGCCUGAGAGGGUGACCGGCCACAUUGGGACUGGGGUACGGCCCAGACUCCUACGGGGGGCAGCAGUGGGGAAUAUUGCACAAUGGGCGGAAGCCUGAUGCAGCAACGCCGCGUGCGGGAUGACGGCCUUCGGGUUGUAGACCGCUUUCGCCUGUGACGGAGCGUGAGUGACGGUAAUGGGUAAAGAAGCACCGGCUAACUACGUG
This 468-nucleotide ribosomal RNA is filed under the name uncultured bacterium. RNAcentral describes it as "partial 16S ribosomal RNA". It matches the Rfam family "Bacterial small subunit ribosomal RNA", at positions 28 to 507 of the family's 1533-position model. The record is from RNAcentral.